RNAcentral lists this ribosomal RNA (254 nucleotides) under uncultured bacterium. Its description in RNAcentral is "partial 16S ribosomal RNA". It matches the Rfam family "Bacterial small subunit ribosomal RNA", at positions 524 to 776 of the family's 1533-position model. The record is from RNAcentral.
UACGUAGGGACCAAGCGUUGUUCGGAUUUACUGGGCGUAAAGGGCGCGUAGGCGGCAAUUCAAGUCAGCUGUGAAAUCUCCGGGCUUAACUCGGAACGGUCAGCUGAUACUGCUUUGCUAGAGUGCAGAAGGGGCAAUCGGAAUUCUUGGUGUAGCGGUGAAAUGCGCAGAUAUCAGGAGGAACACCAAUUGCGAAGGCAGCUCGCUGGGACGUUACUGACGCUGAGGCGCGGAAAGCCAGGGGAGCGAACGGG